Molecule: ribosomal RNA, 192 nt
Filed under: Fusarium lateritium
Lineage: Eukaryota; Fungi; Ascomycota; Sordariomycetes; Hypocreales; Nectriaceae
Description: partial 28S ribosomal RNA
Source: RNAcentral
UCUGCCUUACGGCGGUGCCGCCCCCGAAAUACAUUGGCGGUCUCGCUGCAGCCUCCAUUGCGUAGUAGCUAACACCUCGCAACUGGAACGCGGCGCGGCCAUGCCGUAAAACCCCAACUUCUGAAUGUUGACCUCGGAUCAGGUAGGAAUACCCGCUGAACUUAAGCAUAUCAAUAAAGCGGAAGAAAAGGA